RNAcentral lists this non-coding RNA (30 nucleotides) under Rattus norvegicus (Norway rat). Lineage: Eukaryota; Metazoa; Chordata; Mammalia; Rodentia; Muridae. The record is from RNAcentral.
UGCAAGCACAGACCUAGGACAGUUACAGUC